RNA transcript from Symphalangus syndactylus (siamang), 5239 nucleotides. It is a transcript of the gene named laccase domain containing 1, with no coding region annotated. NCBI's taxonomy places the organism in Eukaryota, Metazoa, Chordata, Mammalia, Primates, Hylobatidae. The record is from RefSeq and is a predicted model, not a curated record.
CCCGAGGUCGCUCCAGCAGCCCGGCCUCACGCGACCCACCAUUCCUGCCGCCCCCUCACGGUACCCGCCAUUCCCGCCGCCGGGCUCUCUAACCGGGCCCCUAGUUCCCCGCCCCGUGCCCUCUGAAGACCUGCAGCUCCUGCUGCCCUGCGCCCGCUCCCAGGGCCCGUCGUUCCGUCGCCCUAUCCCCCCUCACGGGGCCCCUAGCUGCCUCCUCGCCACCCUUUCCCGACUUGGCCUGCCCACUCCCGCCCGCUAACCCGCCUGGCUCCGGGCCGAGGGCUCUCGCGCGGCUCUGGUUCCUGUUCCUCUAACGCCGGCGGGGCUGCGGAAUAUCGACUCCGCAGGCCGCCCAGACCCGGAACUGCUGAGGCAGCAGCGGGCUCGCGGCGCUUGGCUCAUCCCGGGAUUCCCCAGCGCUGGCGCUGGGCCCGCCGCGUUCGCACCAAGCACGCCAGGCGGCCCUGCCCGAGCUCCCUCCCGCCUCCCGGCAGCUGGCACCCGGGGCCCCGGCCGUCAGGUUUCCCCUGGGAUCCCGGGACGGUAUCAGGCGGGGUAUCUGUGCGGCCGCGGCGAGGUGGGUGAGGUGAGGCGGGGCGAGGUGGGUGAGGUGGGCGAGGUGAGGCGGGGCGGGUGUUGUCGCGCUGGGCCGAGCUUACGACUCCAGCUGACCCGCUCGCGGCUGCCCAAUUUCGUUGAGGCUCAGGACGACGGUCGGGGCGGCAAAUCGUCACAGAGGUCGCCGUAGACCGGGGUGCAACCGAAGGUGAAGAGCGGGAAGGCGAGGACCGAAUCGCCUCUGGUGUGCGUUGUCCGACAGGAAGUCCCGAAUGGGCUGUGAGCGGCCGAUGGAGGUGCCCGGGCAGGUGCAGAGCCACAGCCUGCGCCCCGUGAGUCGAGGCGGGUGAUUUAUUUGGCAUAAAAGUAUUCCUCCGAGGAUGGCAGAAGCCGUUUUGAUUGAUCUUUUCGGUUUGAAAUUGAACUCUCAAAAAAACUGCCAUCACACAUUACUGAAGACUUUGAAUGCUGUCCAAUACCACCAUGCUGCCAAGGCCAAGUUUCUUUGUAUAAUGUGUUGCAGUAACAUCAGCUAUGAAGGGGAUGGAGAACAAGAUAAUUGUGAAUUAGAAACAAGCAAUGGAUUAUCAGCUCUCUUGGAAGAAUUUGAGAUUGUUAGCUGUCCCAGCAUGGCUGCCUCUUUGUAUACCAUUAAACAGAAAAUUGAUGAAAGAAAUCUGAGCAGGAUUAAGGUAAUUGUACCCAGGCACAGGAAGACAUUAAUGAAAGCUUUUAUUGAUCAACUCUUCACUGAUGUUUACAAUUUUGAAUUUGAAGAUUUGCAAGUGACUUUGAGGGGAGGCCUUUUUAAACAGUCUAUUGAAAUAAACAUAAUCACAGCUCAAGAACUAAGAGAAAUUCAGAAUGAAAUACAAACAUUUUUGAGAAGUCUGCCAGCACUGAGAGGAGAAUUAACUAUUAUCACUUCUCCUUUGAUCCCAGAUAUUUUCAUACAUGGAUUUACUACAAGAACAGGUGGGAUAUCUUAUAUACCAACUCUUAGCUCAUUCAAUCUCUUCAGUAGUUCCAAACGGAGAGAUCCCAAGGUAGUGGUUCAAGAAAAUCUGCGUAGGUUGGCGAAUGCUGCAGGAUUUAAUGUGGAGAAAUUUUACCGAAUAAAGACUCAUCAUUCCAAUGACAUCUGGAUUAUGGGAAGAAAGGAGCCUGACUCUUAUGAUGGAAUAACCACAAAUCAGAGAGGAGUCACAAUAGCAGCUCUUGGUGCAGACUGUAUACCGAUAGUUUUUGCAGAUCCAGUCAAAAAAGCAUGUGGGGUUGCUCACGCUGGUUGGAAAGGUACUUUGUUGGGUGUUGCUAUGGCUACAGUGAAUGCUAUGAUAGCAGAAUAUGGCUGCAGUUUGGAAGACAUUGUUGUUGUACUUGGACCUUCAGUAGGACCUUGCUGUUUUACUCUUCCAAGAGAAUCAGCAGAGGCAUUUCAUAAUCUUCAUCCUGCAUGUGUACAACUAUUUGAUUCACCAAAUCCCUAUAUUGACAUCCGUAAAGCCACAAGAUACUUGACUGGAUUUUUGUAUAACUGCUUCCUGCCUCCUUCCAAACUGACUGCAAGAGAGAAAUUUGGCUGUUUGACUUACUUAAAACCAAAUGGAUUACAAUGGAUAAUUCAGCUUUAGGGACACACUCACAGUGACCAUCAUGGAUUUUGAAAUGGCCUCCAGACCUUAGCCCAGGACUGCGGGGAAAAGAGGGCAGGAAACCCAAAGGGAAUCCACACGACAAACCAGAUCAAGGACACGGCUAACGGUCAGAGUUGGAAGUUCUGCUGCUGAGACAAGGCGGAAGCCAGGAGGCAGAAACCCAAGAGGAACUAAAGCCAGAAGUCACAGUUAGCAAAAAUUAGGGCCAAAGCACAAGACAAGAAUCAAAGGAGCGAUCACUGUUGAGCAAAACAGUCCAGUGUCAGCAUUCAGACACUGCCCUCAAUGCAAUUUCUGAACACUCUUGGUGCAGCAAUGCUUCUUUAACCCCAACUUGAGGCAGCUCAUGUAGAAAGCAUGUAUUGCUGGGCUUUGGGAGUGUGAUUAAUCUUGGAGGCAAGAGCUUCAACCAGCACUACUACUUGAGGACCUAUGCAGUGUUUGUCUGUGAGCAUGGAAUGACUGAUACUGGCAUCAGAGUUAGGAAUCCACUUUCAAGGAAAAGGGAUGCAGUAGUGGGCACAUGACUAAGAAGUCCACCAAUCCUCUCAUAUACUGCACCACCAGAAGCUGCUGGAUUAGCAGAGCAAAGGCAAAGAUUGACCAGGCCAAGCCCUGAGACACACAGUGUUGAGAACGCAGACAUAAAGUCGUGAAGAUUCAGGUCCAGAGCCCAGCAGGGCACAGGCUGGAGGGGUGAUGUGAGUGAUCAGUAACACCAUGAAGACUCUGCUCCUGGGUCAGGAAUGCUUUUUUGUUCCUGUUUUGGAUUUUCCACCAUGAGCAGCCAAUGCAGAAAGAAAUCUAAAGGUGAAGGAAAGGCAGCGUUCAGCGCUGAGCAAGUCCAUAUUGGAGAAAGUUCGCAGGGAACUGGAAAUCCUUGUCCUCGUGGUUCCUGGCUCAGCAGGAACCCUGUGAGGCCUCUCCCUCUCCUGGGAAAGAGACUGCUCUAGAAGGUUUACUACACCAGUGAGGAGAAGAUGAGCGCAUGGGGGAUUGGCUGGCUGAGGGCGAAAUCAAGGCUGGAGCCAAGUGCGCUGAGCUCUCACAUGAGGUCCUUUGCUCCUGUUCCCUGGAGGCAUAAGUGGCUGGGGUAGAGAGAAACGGGGGUAUUUCUUAUGUCCUUUCUUGCUUAGGGAGUGGGGGUGGAAAUCUCCCUGCAUCUAAGGAAAUUUGAAAAGACGACUAUGGUUGCUUCUUCAAGCAAACCACCUCACCACACUAUCCAAGGGAUAAAACCCACUUGCUGCUGCCAAAUUAUGCCAAGAGAGAACAUUCUGAUCUUUCUCCUCAAUUCUAGGCGUGGCAGUGUGACUUGGUGCUUAAAGGCAUGGAGUUUUGAGUCGCAGACCUAGGUUUGAGUGCUGAAUCUACUAGCUUCAGGGUGUUAAACACAUUUCUUAACCUCUCCAAACCUUAUUUUUCUCCAAGAUUAAAAACUGGGUGUAGUUGUGAGGAUAGUGAAUGCACAUAGUAUGUGCAUUUGGCACAUUAAUUCGCUAUUAUUCUGGACAUAAUUUCUCCUAAGAAAAAGGAUGAACUAAUUGCAAGGCCUAGCCUAAGCUCUGAGAAGUCAUUUGUUAUAGCAUUUCAGUCCAUAGUAAACAAGAAGAAAUGAGGUAAAGAGUUUAAACCAGGGAAGGCAUACCUGUGGUCACCAAACAACCUGUUAAAGGUGAGCUGUAGUCACCAAACCACCUAUUAUGGACUGAAUUGUGUUCCCCAAAUUCAUAUGUUGAAGUCCUAACCCCAAGUACUGAAUGUGACUGUAUUUGGGGAUACAGUCCCUAAAGAAGUCACUCAGCAGGAGGGAGUCAUAUUGGAUUAGGUGUUGGGAAUUGGCUGGCCAAGGGAGAAAUCAAGGCUGGAACCAAAUGCUGAGCUCUCACAUCAGGUCCUUUGCUCCUGAUCCCUGUACCCUAAUCCAGUAUGACUGGCAUCUUUAUAUGAAGAGAAAGAGGCACCAGGGGAUACAUACGCAGAGAAAAGGCCAUAUAUGGACACAGUAAGAUGAUGGACAUCCGUAAGCCAAGGAGGGAAACCUCAGAAGAAACCAAUCUUUCCUGCACCUUGAUCUUGGAGGUCCAGUCUCCAGAACUGUGAAAAAAAUGAACUGGUGUUGUUUAAAUCCCCCAGUCUGUGGUAUUUUGUUGUGGUGGCCCUAGCAGACAAAUAUACAACCCAAAGGAAUAUUCUUUCUGCAUUCUCCCUCUUCCACUUUAUAGUUUUUUCUCCUUUGUUUCUUUCUUUUCCUCUUUUACUCUCCUUUUCUUCUCUUCUCUUUCCUCUUUCCUUUGGUUUUUAAUUCUAAUUUUAAUUUUUGGCCUUCCUGUACCUCCAUUUGCCUUUCCAGGAAGCUGAAUUCCAGACAAUUAACCAUUUAUCUCAUCAGUUCAGCAAAGCAAAUGCCCUCAAUGGUUUCUUUCAUGAUUCGAUUAUUAUAGGAUCAGAAUGUAACUUACUCCUCUGGGAAAAAUGAAACAUAAAAAUUUCAGAAAUAAGAUUUUGGGCCAGCUUCAUUGGUUUUAAGAGAAGGAAGGGAGGAGACUCAAGCAGGUUUGACGCCAAGUAGCACCAUGUCGUUGGGCCUGGCAGGCACUCAAGGCUUUAGGUCUUGGUUUGAAUCCAGACUAGAAAAUCAUUACUUUCUAAAAGCCUUGAGGGUUUGGGUCUAGGAAAGUCUAUGUGAAGAGAUAAUAGUUUGGAAAAAGUUUUGCAGAACUAAAGAAAAGUUUCCACAGUUACCUUUUCUGUCCUAAUGUAGAGCAUCUUUGUUAACUAGGUCUUGGAUCAAUCCAAGCUGUGUCUGAGAAUAACCAUUUAUAAUUUCUCAUCGGCCAGCACUAACACCUUUUAGAAAAGGAACUCAAAGCAGCACUAGCAGCCAGUCAUGCGAUCGUGGUGGGAGUACAGCUCCUCACCAAGGUCAGCUCCUCAGUGAAAUCCAUGCCUUCUGGAGGACUGCUUGUAAAUAAAUACUAAGCACAACCGUUAAAAAAUAAUUUGGCUUUGACCAUCAAAUA